AACAAGAAGCCAUAAAGUUCAGUUUUUACUGUCCUGUGAGCAGCGGUUGCUGAAGGCUCCAAUUCAGUCCUUCAUGGAUUUUGAGUUCAGCAGCUGAAAAGGUCACUAUCCUGCUAGCACUCUUAACUCCAGCAAACAUUGUAAUUGGAGCCUCCAAACUAAUCACAGGGGGUUAAACCCUGUUCUUCAGAGCUGUCACCAGUAUGGAUCUGUCAAAAUCAUUGCUUCCAUCCAAGCACCUAUGGUGACACUUCUUCACAGGGCAUUCUUGGAGAGAGGAGGAGCCAGAGGAAGACACACUGCAGCUAUCCCAGAAUAAGUUUCAGAGAGAUUAAAAGAAAAAAAUGAAACAAAAUCAAAUCAAUGAAAAUGCAGGCAGAGCCAGGUAAGUGGGAAAUAAAAAAUUAAUCAAGAGAAGUCUCUGUGUAAGG
Molecule: long non-coding RNA, 431 nt
Filed under: Parus major (Great Tit)
Lineage: Eukaryota; Metazoa; Chordata; Aves; Passeriformes; Paridae
Description: lncRNA (ENSPMJG00000000835.1)
Source: RNAcentral